CAGCGUCCACCCUGUAAUGAGGGGACAGGUUGCAUCUCGCUUUUGAAAUCUGGGGGAUUAUAAUCAUUUCCAUAACAUGGGCAGCUUGACCUCCCUGUAACUAGGGUUUGCAUCUCCGUGGCCCUUUGGGUCUCCGUUAGCUGGUUAGUGGGAGUGACUGCCCUGUAAUCAGGGUGCCAGUCACCUCCCCCUAAAUGUGGAGGGCACUGAGCUCUUUGUUAAACUGAGCAAUGUGACCGCCCUGUAACUAGGGUCCGGGUCUCUGCCCACUUGCUCAUUUGGCUUUACGCCGUGCUCUGCCCCACUAGUCAGCGUGACAACCCUGUAAAUAGGGUCCAUGUCACAAGGCUCUCCUGAAUGGGACAUAUCGAGCUCUUUGGUACUUUCACAGUUUGACCUUCCUGUAAUUCAGGUUAUGGUCUCUCCUCUUUGGCUAAUGCCAGCGACCACCCUGUACUGAGGGGACAGGUUGCAUCUCGCUUUUGAAAUCUGGGGGAUUAGAAUCAUUUCCAUAACAUGGGCAGCUUGACCUCCCACUAACUAGGGUUUGCAUCUCCGUGGCCCUUUGGGUCUCCGUUAGCUGGUUAGUGGGAGUGACUGCCCUGUAAUCAGGGUGCCAGUCAUCUCCCCCUAAAUGUGGAGGGGCACUGAGCUCUUUCUUAACCUGAGCAAUGUGACCGCCCUGUAACUAGGGUCCGGGUCUCUGCCCACUUGCUCAUUUGGCUUUACGCCGUGCUCUGCCCCACUAGUCAGCGUGACAACCCUGUAAAUAGGGUCCAUGUCACAAGGCUCUCCUGAAUGGGACAUAUCGAGCUCUUUGGUACUUUCACAGCUUGACCUUCCUGUAAUUCAGGUUAUGGUCUCUCCUCUUUGGCUAAUGCCAGCGACUACCCUGUACUGAGGGGACAGGUUGCAUCUCGCUUUUGAAAUCUGGGGGAUUAGAAUCAUUUCCGUAACAUGGGCAGCUUGACCUCCCUGUAACUAGGGUUUGCGUCUCUAUGGCCCUUUGACUCUCUUGGCCUCGUGCUGUCUUUACAGCCUGCUGCGAAGGACCGCCCUGUCAUCAGGGAUCGGGUCUUUGCUCUCUAGUCUCUUGGCACUAGGCCAAAUGCAGCCACUGCCCUGAAUGAGCACCCUGUAAACAGGGUACAGGUCUCAUCAACUACUAUUUAUGGUGCCCCCAUAAAACUGUGCCCAGAGUUCCGGCCCUUCAAGCAGCGCUUCCAACUUGCCUGGAAUUCUGCAGUCAAGUCUCCCUCUUUCUACUCCCUUCUUGGACUUUUGGAGACCUGACAUGCUAUUGGUGGCACCAUGAAGCACAAGUGGAGAAGAAAGAAGUGUCAGGAAUGCCAUACACAGAGAAGAAAAGAAGAUGGAGGAAAAGGAAAGGAACUCUGGGCACAGUACCCUCCCUCAGAUCAGCCUCAGGUCAUGUAAUUAGACUGUAUGGGAAUCUCGAGCCUUUUAAUACCUUGAGCAGCGUGACCGCCCUGUAAGCUGGGUCCCGGUCUGUGCCAUUGUGUAUUUGGACAUUCGGCUCCGUGAUCUGGCUAGUGUGAGUGACUGCCCUGUAAUCAGGGUGCCAGUCACCUCCCCCUAAAUGUGGAGGGGCACUGAGCUCUUUGUUAAACUGAGCAAUGUGACCGCCCUGUAACUAGGGUCCGGGUUUCUGCCCACUUGCUCAUUUGGCUUUACGCCGUGCUCUGCCCCACUAGUCAGCGUGACAACCCUGUAAAUAGGGUCCAUGUCACAAGGCUCUCCUGAAUGGGACAUAUCGAGCUCUUAGGUACUUUCACAGCUGGACCUUCCUGUAAUUCAGGUUAUGGUCUCUCCUCUUUGGCUAAUGCCAGCGACCACCCUGUAAUGAGGGGACAGGUUGCAUCUCGCUUUUGAAAUCUGGGGGAUUAGAAUCAUUUCCAUAACAUGGGCAGCUUGACCUCCCACUAACUAGGGUUUGCAUCUCCGUGGCCCUUUGGGUCUCCGUUAGCUGGUUAGUGGGAGUGACUGCCCUGUAAUCAGGGUGCCAGUCAUCUCCCCCUAAAUGUGGAGGGGCACUGAGCUCUUUCUUAACCUGAGCAAUGUGACCGCCCUGUAACUAGGGUCCGGGUCUCUGCCCACUUGCUCAUUUGGCUUUACGCCGUGCUCUGCCCCACUAGUCAGUGUGACAACCCUGUAAAUAGGGUCCAUGUCACAAGACUCACUAGAAUGGGACAUAUCGAGCUCUUUGGUACUUUCACAGUUUGACCUUCCUGUAAUUCAGGUUAUGGUCUCUCCUCUUUGGCUAAUGCCAGCGACCACCCUGUACUGAGGGGACAGGUUGCAUCUCGCUUUUGAAAUCUGGGGGAUUAGAAUCAUUUCCGUAACAUGGGAAGCUUGACCUCCCUGUAACUAGGGUUUGCGUCUCUAAGGCCCUUUGACUCUCUUGGCCUCGUGCUGUCUUUACAGCCUGCUGCGAAGGACCGCCCUGUCAUCAGGGAUCGGGUCUUUGCUCUCUAGUCUCUUGGCACUAGGCCAAAUGCAGCCACUGCCCUGAAUGAGCACCCUGUAAACAGGGUACAGGUCUCAUCAGCUACUAUUUAUGGUGCCCCCAUAAAACUGUGCCCAGAGUUCCGGCCCUUCAAGCAGCGCUUCCAACUUGCCUGGAAUUCUGCAGUGAAGUCUCCCGCUUUCUAGUCCCUUCUUGGACUUUUGGAGACCUGACAUGCUAUUGGUGGCACCAUGAAGCACCAGUGGAGAAGAAAGAAGUGUCAGGAAUGCCAUACACAGAGAAGAAAAGAAGAUGGAGGAAAAGGAAAGGAACUCUGGGCACAGUACCCUCCCUCAAAUCAGCCUCAGGUCAUGUAAUUAGACUGUAUGGGAAUCUCGAGCCUUUUAAUACCUUGAGCAGCGUGACCGCCCUGUAAGCUGGGUCCCGGUCUGUGCCAUUGUGUAUUUGGACAUUCGGCUCCGUGAUCUGGCUAGUGUGAGUGACUGCCCUGUAAUCAGGGUGCCAGUCACCUCCCCCUAAAUGUGGAGGGGCACUGAGCUCUUUGUUAAACUGAGCAAUGUGACCGCCCUGUAACUAGGGUCCGGGUCUCUGCCCACUUGCUCAUUUGGCUUUACGCCGUGCUCUGCCCCACUAGUCAGCGUGACAACCCUGUAAAUAGGGUCCAUGUCACAAGGCUCUCCUGAAUGGGACAUAUCGAGCUCUUUGGUACUUUCACAGCUGGACCUUCCUGUAAUUCAGGUUGUGGUCUCUCCUCUUUG
Molecule: long non-coding RNA, 3246 nt
Organism: Mauremys mutica (yellowpond turtle)
Lineage: Eukaryota; Metazoa; Chordata; Testudines; Geoemydidae
Exons: 3
Source: RefSeq, a predicted model, not a curated record